Molecule: ribosomal RNA, 378 nt
Filed under: uncultured bacterium
Lineage: Bacteria
Description: bacterial SSU rRNA
Rfam family: Bacterial small subunit ribosomal RNA
Source: RNAcentral
AUACGUAGGGUGCAAGCGUUAUCCGGAAUUAUUGGGCGUAAAGAGCUCGUAGGCGGUUUGUCGCGUCUGCUGUGAAAUCCCGAGGCUCAACCUCGGGCCUGCAGUGGGUACGGGCAGACUAGAGUGCGGUAGGGGAGAUUGGAAUUCCUGGUGUAGCGGUGGAAUGCGCAGAUAUCAGGAGGAACACCGAUGGCGAAGGCAGAUCUCUGGGCCGUAACUGACGCUGAGGAGCGAAAGGGUGGGGAGCAAACAGGCUUAGAUACCCUGGUAGUCCACCCCGUAAACGUUGGGAACUAGUUGUGGGGUCCUUUCCACGGAUUCCGUGACGCAGCUAACGCAUUAAGUUCCCCGCCUGGGGAGUACGGCCGCAAGGCUAAA